ACGACAUGUAUCGAUCAAUCGGGAUUAUUUUCGUCAUUCGUAAACAUCUUUGACCUUUGACCGCCGACUUGACCUUGAAUUUGACCCAUUUGUGAAAACUAUGUGCAGAAAUAGACUCCCUGUCAUGGAAAAUCUGUCAAAAAUGGUGCAAAACGACCUUCUAAUCCAUCGAUAGAAGGAAAAAAGUUGAAUUUGGACAAAAAUUCAAGAUGGCGGUGGCCACCGUCUUGAGUUUUGCGCUAAGCUCAGAUACCCAAGUGGUUACUAAGCCAAUUUGGAUCUCCAAGCUACAGGGAACAUAUUUCCGUGAAAAAGUCCGCGGUAGUGCACAUUGCAGGGUGUCAUCAAGGAAGCAUCAAAAUGGCAACUCGACUAUUAACACCAUUCAACAUCAUAAUUCAGCGAGGUGACUAACGCAACGCUUGAUCACAAUCGGUCGGUACGUCCCAUGUACUUACAUUCUGAAUGUGUUGCGUGGGCUAUGUCGGCAUUGUCCUCUACGCCGUUCCCUGUGUGACUAAGCAGUAAUGGCACGUUCGUAAACAAAGGUUAUGGCUGAUGAUAUCACCUUGUUCUUGGAAAUGUCGCCGGACAUGAAAGGCUCGUUUGUUGACCUUUGGAGGGGACGGGAUGAUUGACACUCUUUCCGCUUCAUGGUCCGUUUUUGCCGGUAUAAAAAGCGACCAAAGGAAACAUGGGCAUAUCCUGUUGAGUCGUCUCUCACCAACAAUGCGUCUGCUGCCAUUGAUUGCCGUGCUUUGUCUGGUGUUGGUGACCACUGAAGGUGGAAGGUGUCGCAAAUUCGGCAAGGCGUGUGGAAUAGGGAACAGGGAUGUGUGCCGCUGGUGUUGGAGGCCUCACAAGCGUCUCUGCUGUCUUCCGGGCGACACAUACGGUGAGUGCGGGAGAAAAUGCAGUUUCCCAAAUACCUGCAGCACACUAAACGGCGAUUGUCACAAAGGAUGGUGCUGCGUAUACUGCAAAGGAAAACAUUGC
This is a long non-coding RNA of Pollicipes pollicipes, 996 nucleotides long. RefSeq lists it as uncharacterized. The record is from RefSeq and is a predicted model, not a curated record. The transcript has 3 exons. NCBI's taxonomy places the organism in Eukaryota, Metazoa, Arthropoda, Thecostraca, Pollicipedomorpha, Pollicipedidae.